UCGAGAGUUGCUAAUCUUGCCUCUGACCCAUGUAUCUCGUUGAUCAUUGUUACUCAAUUGCUGGAGAAGUGAUUUGGUUGCCCCCAUGUCGGAGGAACCUUUUCGAAGAGGAGUUUAUUAGAUUGUUGGAGCACCUGAUGCUUUACUUACCUUCCCCCCAAGAAGUCGAUUCGGUGGUUUGGAAAGGUCAUAGCUCGGGUGUUUUUUUGGCGUGUUCAUUCUAUAAAAUUAUCUCUAAACCAAAUUCUUCGAAGUCUUAUCCCUUUCUCCAGUGGUCUUAUGGAGCUCCUCCUAGGGUUGCGACUUUUAUUUGGUUGUUGGGGAGGAAGAAGGUGUUGACUAUUGACAAUUGACUAUCUUCAAAAGAGAUCCAUCACCAUCCCCAACAUUUGCUUGAUGUGUAUGAGGGAUGCUGAGUCAAUCGGUCAUCUUUUCAUCCAUCCAUUGCCCAUUCGCUUGCAAAAUUUGGGAUCAUUUCUUCCGUUUGUUCCACGUAUAUUGGGUGCUGCUGAAGUCAGUUGACCUUCUCUUAUGGGCUUCACAUGGAGUCAUAGGUAAACCUUGGAAGGCAGUGUGGAGGCUCGUUUUGAUGGGUAUCUUCUGGUUUAUUUGGAAGGCAAGGAACAAUUCAAGGCAAGAAACCUUCAUCUGGAAGUGUCAUUUACCUAGUGAAAUGUGUUGUUUCUGAAUGGGGCUCCUUAUGUUCAUGCAGCCAAGUCAGUUGAUCUCUCUUUUAUGCAUCUGCUUUAGUGUGGGUUUGUAUUCUUUUCCCUCUUUUUAGGGCUUUCUUAAUAAAUUUCAGUUACCUUAAAAAAAACACUUAGUUAAGAGCACUUAAUUUGUUAGUAUUAUCGGUCAAUGGUUUUUAAUCUAUUUCCAAUUGGAUUUGGUUGGUUUUAGGACACUUAGUUUCAUACCAAUUCUACACCAACGUGACUAAUUUUUUUUGGGAUGUAGUGGGUUUCGGAAAGUCCUUGUAUGAUAGUAGUUGAGAGUGUUUUAGACUAAGAAAAUUGAGUUUUAGAGUUUUUAAGGUGGGUUAUAAAUGUACGACAAUAAGGGGAAUUAUGAAUUUUAGCAUGAAUUAUAUCAAAUGAAUCGAGGCUUUUUUAAACUUCUAUGUCCAGAAGAGUGAUUCUUCUACUUUUUCUCAUAGUUUACUAAUAGAAGGGAAAGGAGUUCUUGUGGCAGGGUUCAAAAGAAAAGAAAAAAAAUUCCACUUGGUGAGUUGGAGGGAGGUGUGCAAGUCUUGUGCAGAAGAGUGGAGCUAGCAUAAGAGACUUAGGGUUGAUGAACCUUGCUCUUUCGGGAAAGUGGCUGUGGAGAUUUGGCUUGAAGGAGGCACCCUAUGGAGGGAAACUGUUGCAAACAAGUAUGGGUGCCACGAUGGGGGAUGGGGUACUAGAGACUCAUCUUUGUAUAGAGCCUCGGCUAUUUGUAAAGGUGUUGCGUGUGUGAAUCCUAUGUUCCUGGAAGGUGUCGGGUUCUCUCUUGGUAGUGGGGAGAAAAUAAGGUUUUGGAAGGAUGUGUGGGUUUCUGAUUCAUCCAUACUAGAAGCUUUCCUGAGGAUUGCCCAUCUCGCCAUGAACUGUAACAUCAAGGUAAAUAGGUGCUACUUGCUCGGAGGGGAGUCUAGUCUGUCAUUUGGUCUCCCCCGUGUCGCAGGAACCUUCUUGACUAUGAGGUGGAAUAGUUCGUCUCACUCAUGGGCUGAAUUCAGCAUUAUUGCCCGAUUGACAGGGAACAGGACAAGAUGACUUGCAGGGAAGGAUAGAUAGAGGUUAGGAAGGGGUGAUCAGCUCAACUAGGCAUGUGCGGUCGUACUCUGCCCCUCCCAGAUUGCGGCAUUUGGUUGGCUAGUUGGAAGGGAAACGGUGCUGACCGUGGAUAACUUCCAUAAGCAGUCAAUGGUGCUCCCUAACGUGUGCUUAAUGUGUACGGCUAAUAUAGAGUCUAGUCAACAUUUUUUCAUCCAUUGCCUGUUUGCGAGUCAA
Molecule: long non-coding RNA, 1994 nt
Organism: Magnolia sinica
Lineage: Eukaryota; Viridiplantae; Streptophyta; Magnoliopsida; Magnoliales; Magnoliaceae
Exons: 2
Source: RefSeq, a predicted model, not a curated record